RNAcentral lists this ribosomal RNA (1491 nucleotides) under Triticum aestivum (bread wheat). Its description in RNAcentral is "partial small subunit ribosomal RNA". Lineage: Eukaryota; Viridiplantae; Streptophyta; Magnoliopsida; Poales; Poaceae. The record is from RNAcentral.
AUGAUAGAAGAGUUGGAAGCACUGAGGAAAAACAAGACGUGGGUGCUAACCACAUUGCCGGCAGGAAAGAAAGCAGUGAGUUGUAAGUGGAUCUAUACAGUGAAGCAGAAUCCUGAGGGGAAGGUGGAACGGUAUAAGGCUAGAUUGGUCGCCAGAGGAUAUAGUCAAACUUAUGGAAUGGACUAUGACGAGACGUUUGCUCCAGUGGCAAAGAUGAACACAGUAAGGAUAUUGGUUUCCUGUGCUGCAAACUUUGGGUGGAAGUUGCAUCAAUUAGAUGUCAAGAAUGCCUUCUUGCAUGGUGGGUUGAGGGAAAAAGUGUACAUGGAGAUACCACCAGGUUUUGGUACUUCACAGACCACGGGGAAGGUAUGCAGGCUGAAGAAAUCCUUGUAUGGACUGAAGCAAUCGCCGAGGGCUUGGUUUGAUAGGUUCAGAUGUGCUGUCCGUGCUAUGGGGUAUGGUCAAUGUAAUGGUGACCACAUGGUGUUCUACAAACACUCACUCUCUGAUCGGAAGAUCACCAUCCUUGCAGUUUAUGUGGAUGACAUUAUCAUCACUGGAGAUGAUAAGGAGGAAAUAGAGAGAUUGAAGGGGUGUCUAAGCAAGGAGUUUGAGGUAAAGGAUUUGGGCAACCUAAAAUACUUCCUUGGCAUUGAAGUGGCUCGGACAGAGAAGGGAAUAUCUUUGUGCCAACGGAAAUACACCUUGGAUCUCUUGAGUGACAUGGGCAUGAUGGGAUGUCGUGCAGCCCCUACGCCGAUUGAACAAAAUCAUCGAGUGACAGCUCAAUCAGGUGAGCUGGUGAAUAAGGAAGAUUAUCAGAAAUUAGUUGGGAGGUUAUUGUACUUGUGUCAUACCAGGCCUGACAUUACGUAUGCCGUGGGUGUGGUGAGCAGAUACAUGCAUGAACCAAGGAGUGGGCAUCUUGAUAUUGUGCACAGAAUUCUGAGAUACUUGAAGGGGACUCCGGGUAAAGGGUUGUGGUUUGCGAAGAGUGGACAUCUUGAGGUGGAUGGCUAUAGUGACUCUGAUUGGGCCAGUUGUCAAGAUGAUAGAAGAUCAACUUCUGGCUACUGUGUGUUUGUGGGAGGAAAUUUGGUGUCAUGUAGAAGCAAGAAACAGACAGUUGUGUCUAGAUCAACAGCAGAAGCUGAGUACAGAGCAUUAUCUCAAGGGUUGUGUGAGAUGCUCUGGGUGAAGUACCUACUGAGCGAGUUGAAACUUCUGAGGAAGGGCCCCUUGAAGGUGUGGUGUGACAAUCAGUCAGCUAUAGCCAUUGCUAAUAACCCAGUUCAACAUGAUAGGACAAAGCAUGUGGAAAUUGAUCGCUUCUUCAUUAAGGAGAAACUUGAUGUUGUGAUCAUCAGCCUUGGUCAUGUCAGUUCUGGGCAGCAGUUUGCAGAUUGCUUGACAAAGGGACUAGGAACAAAGGACUGUAACUUGGCAUGUGACAAGAUGGGAAUGAUAGAUAUCUACCACCCAUCUUGA